Long non-coding RNA from Culex quinquefasciatus (southern house mosquito), 298 nucleotides. RefSeq lists it as uncharacterized. The record is from RefSeq and is a predicted model, not a curated record. Lineage: Eukaryota; Metazoa; Arthropoda; Insecta; Diptera; Culicidae. The transcript is spliced from 3 exons.
UCUUGCUUAUUUAUUCUUGUGCUAAUAUUGUGUUUGGAAAGCUGGAGUAUUUCACUGACAAUCCUCCAGCGCAUUAUUAUCUGCGUAACAAUUUAGCAGAUUGCCCAAAACGAUUCUACACGGAUCCAAACAAAUACAACCUACCGAGUAUCCAUGGCGGUGUACGAGCUAGAAGAGGCGAAUUCCCACACAUGGCUGCAAUCGGCUGGACAACUUCCGAAGGCAUCAGGUAUUUAUGUGGAGGUUCGUUGAUAAGCGCUAAUUACGUACUGACAGCAGCGCACUGUUCUGCUAAUGG